GACGAACGCUGGCGGCGUGCUUAACACAUGCAAGUCGAACGGAAAGGCCUGCUUUCCCUUGUGGAUUGCGGGUGCUCGAGUGGCGAACGGGUGAGUAACACGUGAGUGAUCUGCCCCCAACUUGGGUAUAAGCCUGGGAAACUGGGUCUAAUUCCCGAUAGGACUGCAGGGUGGUGCCUGUGGUGGAAAACGAUUUUCUAGUGGUUGGGGUUUAGCUCGCGGCCUAUCAGCUUGUUGGUGGGGUAAUGGCCUACCAAGGCGGCGACGGGUAGCCGGCCUGAGAGGGUGGACGGCCACAUUGGGACUGAGAUACGGCCCAGACUCCUACGGGAGGCAGCAGUGGGGAAUAUUGCACAAUGGGCGGAAGCCUGAUGCAGCGACGCCGCGUGGGGGAUGACGGCCUUCGGGUUGUAAACUCCUUUCGACCGCGAGGAAGCCACCUGGUUGGAAGGGUGGUGACGGUAGUGGUAGAAGAAGCACCGGCUAACUACGUG
RNAcentral lists this ribosomal RNA (494 nucleotides) under uncultured bacterium. RNAcentral describes it as "partial 16S ribosomal RNA". It matches the Rfam family "Bacterial small subunit ribosomal RNA", at positions 28 to 507 of the family's 1533-position model. The record is from RNAcentral.